RNAcentral lists this ribosomal RNA (252 nucleotides) under Fusobacterium mortiferum. Its description in RNAcentral is "partial 16S ribosomal RNA". It matches the Rfam family "Bacterial small subunit ribosomal RNA", at positions 524 to 776 of the family's 1533-position model. The record is from RNAcentral. Lineage: Bacteria; Fusobacteriati; Fusobacteriota; Fusobacteriia; Fusobacteriales; Fusobacteriaceae.
UACGUAUGUCGCAAGCGUUAUCCGGAUUUAUUGGGCGUAAAGCGCGUCUAGGCGGUUUGGUAAGUCUGAUGUGAAAAUGCGGAGCUCAACUCCGUAUUGCGUUGGAAACUGCCAAACUAGAGUACUGGAGAGGUGGGCGGAACUACAAGUGUAGAGGUGAAAUUCGUAGAUAUUUGUAGGAAUGCCGAUGGGGAAGCCAGCCCACUGGACAGAUACUGACGCUAAAGCGCGAAAGCGUGGGUAGCAAACAGG